GCACUACUGAUGAGCCUCAAACAGAGCGAAACAGCUGUCUAGUGC
This 45-nucleotide non-coding RNA is filed under the name Echinostoma caproni. Lineage: Eukaryota; Metazoa; Platyhelminthes; Trematoda; Plagiorchiida; Echinostomatidae. The record is from RNAcentral.